CACGCAUGACACACUGCAUAUCAAUAAGCGGAGGAAAAGAAACUAACAAGGAUUCCCCUUAGUAACGGCGAGUGAAGCGGGAAGAGCUCAAAUUUGAAAUCUUCAAGGUUCUACCUUGACGAAUUGUAGUUUAUAGAAGUGUUUUCUGUUAGUAGAGGUGGCUAAAAGUUCUUUGGAAUAGGACAUCAUAGAGGGUGAGAAUCCCGUAUUUGAUCAUUCUUUCUAAGCGUUGUGAUACACUUUCAACGAGUCGGAUUGUUUGGGAAUGCAGUCCAAAAUGGGUGGUAAAUUUCAUCUAAAGCUAAAUAUUGGCGAGAGACCGAUAGCGAACAAGUACCGUGAGGGAAAGAUGAAAAGAACUUUGAAAAGAGAGUUAAACAGUACGUGAAAUUGUCAAAAGGGAAGCGUUUGACACCAGUGUUGUUUUUCCGAAAAUCAAUUACGAAUGUUUUGUUUUUGAGGAGUUAUGACUUCAUCGGCUUGCUUCUCUCUUUACGAAACUUUCUUAAUGCACUUUUCGGUUAACAAGUCAACAUCAAUUUCUUUUGUUGUAGAAGGGUAUGAGGAAGGUGGCUUUCUUUUCGGAGAAAGUGUUUAUAGCCUUGUACCUCUGCAAUCGGAGAGAUUGAGGUCUGCAGCGUAGAUCCUUCGGGGUUAGAUACGUUUGUGCUAAGCUAUAGCCUUUUCAUAGACAACUUGUUGACUAUGAUCAGUCAUGUAGCUUACUCGCUGAUGCUAUUUUACCUACGCUUAGGAUGUUGAGCGCAUGUCUCUCUCU
This 778-nucleotide ribosomal RNA is filed under the name uncultured Neocallimastigales. RNAcentral describes it as "partial large subunit ribosomal RNA". It matches the Rfam family "Eukaryotic large subunit ribosomal RNA", at positions 24 to 642 of the family's 3401-position model. Lineage: Eukaryota; Fungi; Neocallimastigomycota; Neocallimastigomycetes; Neocallimastigales. The record is from RNAcentral.